This is a long non-coding RNA of Mastomys coucha (southern multimammate mouse), 465 nucleotides long. RefSeq lists it as uncharacterized. The transcript has 3 exons. NCBI's taxonomy places the organism in Eukaryota, Metazoa, Chordata, Mammalia, Rodentia, Muridae. The record is from RefSeq and is a predicted model, not a curated record.
CAAUGACUGAAAGUUCUAGAAUAUGGCUUCAAGCGAGACACUAAGAUGGACAGCUGAAGAAGCAGGAAGAGUUCGGUAUUAGCUACUUUUCUAUUUCUGUGAAGAAGCAUCAUGCCUUCACCAAGGCAACUUACUGAAAGAAGAGUUUACUGGGGCUUACAGCUGCAGAAAGAGAGUCCAUGACCAUUCUGCCUGGGGACAUGGCAUCAGGAAGACAGAUGUGGCACUGGAAAGGUUACUGAGAGCUUACAUCUUAUCCUCAGGAUGGAGAUAGAAACAGGUUUUACCAAAACUCAGUCACCAUAACAAAAGUCAGGAGACAGAAAUUAGGGAAAAUAUGCAACAACUGCUGAUAAAGACGAAUCAAAUACUGGAUUCUUCUGGCAAAGGUUUCACAUCAGUCAUAAUUUAAAAAAUAACGAUUAAACAAUUGCAAAAUGAAUAAAAAAAUGUGUGUACUAAUAA